RNAcentral lists this ribosomal RNA (674 nucleotides) under uncultured bacterium. RNAcentral describes it as "bacterial SSU rRNA". It matches the Rfam family "Bacterial small subunit ribosomal RNA", at positions 8 to 726 of the family's 1533-position model. The record is from RNAcentral.
AGAGUUUGAUCCUGGCUCAGAGCGAACGCUGGCGGCAGGCUUAACACAUGCAAGUCGAGCGGGCGUAGCAAUACGUCAGCGGCAGACGGGUGAGUAACGCGUGGGAACGUACCUUUUGGUUCGGAACAACCCAGGGAAACUUGGGCUAAUACCGGAUAAGCCCUUACGGGGAAAGAUUUAUCGCCGAAAGAUCGGCCCGCGUCUGAUUAGCUAGUUGGUGAGGUAACGGCCCACCAAGGCGACGAUCAGUAGCUGGUCUGAGAGGAUGAUCAGCCACAUUGGGACUGAGACACGGCCCAAACUCCUACGGGAGGCAGCAGUGGGGAAUAUUGGACAAUGGGCGCAAGCCUGAUCCAGCCAUGCCGCGUGAGUGAUGAAGGCCCUAGGGUUGUAAAGCUCUUUUGUGCGGGAAGAUAAUGACGGUACCGCAAGAAUAAGCCCCGGCUAACUUCGUGCCAGCAGCCGCGGUAAUACGAAGGGGGCUAGCGUUGCUCGGAAUCACUGGGCGUAAAGGGUGCGUAGGCGGGUUUUUAAGUCAGGGGUGAAAUCCUGGAGCUCAACUCCAGAACUGCCUUUGAUACUGAAGAUCUUGAGUUCGGGAGAGGUGAGUGGAACUGCGAGUGUAGAGGUGAAAUUCGUAGAUAUUCGCAAGAACACCAGUGGCGAAGGCGGCU